CYKKAACGGGCAGUGAAUAGAACCUGAACCGGUGCCUACAAACAGUCGGAGCCCGCAAGGGUGACGGCGUACCUUUUGUAUAAUGGGUCAACGACUUAGUGUGGCAUGCAAGCUUAAGCCGGUAGGUGGAGGCGUAGCGAAAGCGAGUCUGAACAGGGCGCUUUAGUAUGUCGCAUUAGACCCGAAACCGAGUGAUCUAGCCAUGAGCAGGUUGAAGGUUGGGUAACACCAACUGGAGGACCGAACCCGCAUCUGUUGCAAUAGAUUGGGAUGACUUGUGGCUAGGGGUGAAAGGCCAAUCAAACUCGGAAAUAGCUGGUUCUCCGCGAAAACUAUUUAGGUAGUGCGUCGACCGAAUACCCUCGGGGGUAGAGCACUGGAUGGGCUAUGGGGACUCACCGUCUUACUGAUCCUAACCAAACUCCGAAUACCGAGGAGUACUAGUCGGCAGACACACGGCGGGUGCUAACGUCCGUCGUGAAAAGGGCAACAACCCUGACCUCCAGCUAAGGUCCCCAAGUCAUGGCUAAGUGGGAAAGGAUGUGAGGAUCCCAAAACAACCAGGAUGUUGGCUUAGAAGCAGCCAUCAUUUAAAGAAAGCGUAACAGCUCACUGGUCUAAAUAAGGGUCUUUGCGCCGAAAAUGUAACGGGGCUGAAGCCAUGCACCGAAGCUGAGGAUACGUCGUAAGACGUGUGGUAGCGGAGCGUUCCGUAAGCCAGUGAAGGGAUACCCGUGAGGGGUCCUGGAGGUAUCGGAAGUGCGAAUGUUGACAUGAGUAACGAUAAAGAGGGUGAGAGACCCUCUCGCCGAAAGACCAAGGGUUCCUGCUUAAAGUUAAUCUGAGCAGGGUUAGCCGGCCCCUAAGACGAGGCGGACACGCGUAGUCGAUGGGAACCACGUUAAUAUUCGUGGGCCUGGUGGUAGUGACGGAUUGCUCAACUUGUCCGGACUUAUUGGAUUGUCCGGGCGGGACGCGGUUCAGGAAAUAGCUCCACCG
RNAcentral lists this ribosomal RNA (999 nucleotides) under Sinorhizobium sp. M49. RNAcentral describes it as "bacterial LSU rRNA". It matches the Rfam family "Bacterial large subunit ribosomal RNA", at positions 526 to 1558 of the family's 2925-position model. The record is from RNAcentral. Lineage: Bacteria; Pseudomonadati; Pseudomonadota; Alphaproteobacteria; Hyphomicrobiales; Rhizobiaceae.